RNAcentral lists this ribosomal RNA (249 nucleotides) under uncultured Actinomycetales bacterium. RNAcentral describes it as "partial 16S ribosomal RNA". It matches the Rfam family "Bacterial small subunit ribosomal RNA", at positions 84 to 334 of the family's 1533-position model. The record is from RNAcentral. Lineage: Bacteria; Bacillati; Actinomycetota; Actinomycetes; Actinomycetales.
GGGGUGCUCGAGUGGCGAACGGGUGAGUAACACGUGAGUAACCUGCCCUUGACUUUGGGAUAACUUCAGGAAACUGGGGCUAAUACCGGAUAGGAGCUCCUGCUGCAUGGUGGGGGUUGGAAAGUUUCGGCGGUUGGGGAUGGACUCGCGGCUUAUCAGCUUGUUGGUGGGGUAGUGGCUUACCAAGGCUUUGACGGGUAGCCGGCCUGAGAGGGUGACCGGCCACACUGGGACUGAGAUACGGCCCAG